GUUGAACGCUGGCGGCAGGCCUAACACAUGCCAGUCGAGCGGAUGAAGGGAGCUUGCUCCUGGAUUCAGCGGCGGACGGGUGAGUAAUGCCUAGGAAUCUGCCUGGUAGUGGGGGAUAACGUCCGGAAACGGGCGCUAAUACCGCAUACGUCCUGAGGGAGAAAGUGGGGGAUCUUCGGACCUCACGCUAUCAGAUGAGCCUAGGUCGGAUUAGCUAGUUGGUGGGGUAAAGGCCUACCAAGGCGACGAUCCGUAACUGGUCUGAGAGGAUGAUCAGUCACACUGGAACUGAGACACGGUCCAGACUCCUACGGGAGGCAGCAGUGGGGAAUAUUGGACAAUGGGCGAAAGCCUGAUCCAGCCAUGCCGCGUGUGUGAAGAAGGUCUUCGGAUUGUAAAGCACUUUAAGUUGGGAGGAAGGGCAGUAAGUUAAUACCUUGCUGUUUUGACGUUACCAACAGAAUAAGCACCGGCUAACUUCGUG
RNAcentral lists this ribosomal RNA (484 nucleotides) under uncultured bacterium. RNAcentral describes it as "partial 16S ribosomal RNA". It matches the Rfam family "Bacterial small subunit ribosomal RNA", at positions 28 to 507 of the family's 1533-position model. The record is from RNAcentral.